Molecule: ribosomal RNA, 891 nt
Filed under: Tenacibaculum lutimaris
Lineage: Bacteria; Pseudomonadati; Bacteroidota; Flavobacteriia; Flavobacteriales; Flavobacteriaceae
Description: bacterial SSU rRNA
Rfam family: Bacterial small subunit ribosomal RNA
Source: RNAcentral
UCGGUUGGGUUUAUUCUCCUUCCUGUCAGGAUGAACGCUACCGGCAGGCCUCACACAUGCAAGUCGACAGGUAACAGAGUGCUUGCACCGUUGACGACCGGCGAACGGGUGCGUAACGCGUAUAGAAUCUGCCUUGUACAGGAGGAUAGCCUUUAGAAAUGAAGAUUAAUACUCCAUAAUAUUGAGAUGUGGCAUCACAAUUUAGUUAAAGAUUUAUCGGUACAAGAUGACUAUGCGUCCUAUUAGCUAGAUGGUAAGGUAACGGCUUACCAUGGCAACGAUAGGUAGGGGGUCUGAGAGGAUUAUCCCCCACACUGGUACUGAGACACGGACCAGACUCCUACGGGAGGCAGCAGUGAGGAAUAUUGGUCAAUGGAGGCAACUCUGAACCAGCCAUGCCGCGUGCAGGAAGACUGCCCUAUGGGUUGUAAACUGCUUUUGUACAGGAAGAAACAGUCGUACGUGUACGGCCUUGACGGUACUGAUAAGAAUAAGCACCGGCUAACUCCGUGCCAGCAGCCGCGGUAAUACGGAGGGUGCAAGCGUUAUCCGGAAUCAUUGGGUUUAAAGGGUCCGCAGGCGGUCAAUUAAGUCAGAGGUUGGAAAUCCCAUAGCUUAACUAUGGAACUGCCUUUGAUACUGGUUGACUUGAGUUAAUACGGAAGUAGAUAGAAUAAGUAGUGUAGCGGUGAAAUGCAUAGAUAUUACUUAGAAUACCGAUUGCGAAGGCAGUCUACUACGUAUAUACUGACGCUCAUGGACGAAAGCGUGGGGAGCGAACAGGAUUAGAUACCCUGGUAGUCCACGCCGUAAACGAUGGACACUAGUUGUUGGGCAUUGUUCAGUGACUAAGCGAAAGUGAUAAGUGUCCCACAUGGGAGACAUGACGUA